UAUAAUUAAUAACAUUAAUUUUUUUAAUUAAAUGUUAUAUUUCAAAUGUAAUAAUAAUAUUGUUCAAUUAAACAAUGCUACUUUUUGUCCUCAGCCAAACCGAUUCGUCCAGGACAUAACCCCGCCUCCUUAUCAGCCAAUCACAUGUUCACGCGCAGCAGGGAUCAGCCAAUCACGUUCAGCAACGAGAUGUUCACCAGCGCCACUGAAAAACCCCAGUCCAGUUUCACCAGCGAAUCCAGUGAAGAACAUGAAGCCGUCUGCUCCGUCGUAUAACCUCAGACUCUGAAUGAGCUUCCACUGCAGAAGACAAACACCGUUCCUGCCAGAACAUUUCAGGAACAUCUUCAUUUAACUUCUUCUUUGCAAGGGUUUUCAGUCUUUUAGAUUUUAGGGCAACAAAUGUGGGUUUUUUAGUGACUUAAACCAUUUUUCACAAGCCUUCAUAGCAAUUAGUUCCUAUAGUACAAUAUCACUCUUUUUUAAUGUAAUAAUUAUUAGGAAUAAGGAAAAAUAGACAGUGAAUAAAUCGAAAUAAUUUAAUAUAAUUUCA
This is a long non-coding RNA of Cyprinus carpio (common carp), 553 nucleotides long. NCBI's taxonomy places the organism in Eukaryota, Metazoa, Chordata, Actinopteri, Cypriniformes, Cyprinidae. The record is from Ensembl.